UCUACGGGAGGCUGCAGUGGGGACUAUUGCACAAUGGUGGAAACCCUGAUGCAGCGACGCCGCGUGAAGGAAGAAGUAUUUCGGUAUGUAAACUUCUAUCAGCAGGGACGAAAAUGACUGUACCUGACUAAGAAGCCCCGGCUAACUACGUGCCAGCAGCCGCGGUAAUACGUAGGGGUCAAGCGUUAUCCUGAUUUACUGGGUGUAAAGGGAGCGUAGGCGGCGAUGCAAGUCAGAAGUGAAAGCCCGUGGCUCAACUCCGGGACUGCUUUUGAAACUGUAUGGCUAGAUUGCAGGAGAGGCAAGUGGAAUUCCUAGUGUAGCGGUGAAAUGCGUAGAUAUUAGGAGGAACACCAGUGGCGAAGGCGGCUUGCUGGACUGUAAAUGACGCUGAGGCUCGAAAGCGUGGGGAGCAAACAGGAUUAGAUACCCUUGUAGUC
RNAcentral lists this ribosomal RNA (440 nucleotides) under uncultured bacterium. Its description in RNAcentral is "partial 16S ribosomal RNA". It matches the Rfam family "Bacterial small subunit ribosomal RNA", at positions 338 to 795 of the family's 1533-position model. The record is from RNAcentral.